UGAAUUGCAAUCCUUUCUUUUUAUUAAUAGUUCAUUAAAAUAUUGGCCAUGGGAUAAGGAAUGAGUUGGAAUACAUUUAGAACUAUAGCAAUUUUAUAAUAAAUUUAAAGUGAUUUCUGUUUCUAUAUUUAUGAUUUGCCAUUUAGUCUAAAAGCCACUUUUCAAAGAUUUUUCUGAUCUUUCUUCAAAAAGCACUCAUCAACACUAGCUACAGGUCAUUGACAGCCCUUCUUCAGAGUGCACUGUCUGUGCAUGCCAAAGACAUUGAUAACCAGCGGCCAGUCGUGUGACCAAUUUUCACCUGAGCUGAGAUUUUCAUUUCUUCCAAAUGUCCAAUGGUUGGAUGGAAGAGAGGAUGUUCACUUCUACUUUGAAUAUAUGACUGAAGUUCUGUUCCAAUAUGAACAAAGAAAUGGUAGUGAGAAUGUAAAAAAAGGAGAUGAUUACACCAAGUAUAGACUUAUAAGAUCCUAACAACACAGCACGCCAGGGUCUAUGCUGCAUGAUUUAUCGCCAUGGAGAAGCUCAAGCAAUACCCAGACUCUGAGAGGAGGACAAAGGCAUCUCCAGAUCACCUGCAAAGAAACCCCAUGGCUUUCAAUGGCUGCAGUCCAAAUACACUUAAACUGAAUUAAAUUGCACCCAAAUACUGGAAACAAAUAUUAAA
Molecule: long non-coding RNA, 667 nt
Organism: Zalophus californianus (California sea lion)
Lineage: Eukaryota; Metazoa; Chordata; Mammalia; Carnivora; Otariidae
Exons: 4
Source: RefSeq, a predicted model, not a curated record